AGAAUCAACGCUGGCGGCGUGCCUAACACAUGCAAGUCGCACGAGAAAGGGGAGCAAUCCCUGAGUACAGUGGCGCACGGGUGAGUAACACGUGAAUUAUCUACCUCCGAGUGGGGAAUAACUGAGAGAAAUCUUAGCUAAUACCGCAUAACACUUACGAGUCAAAGCAGCAAUGCGCUUGGAGAGGAGUUCGCGGCCGAUUAGUUAGUUGGCGGGGUAAUGGCCCACCAAGACGAUGAUCGGUAUCCGGCCUGAGAGGGCGCACGGACACACUGGAACUGAAACACGGUCCAGACUCCUACGGGAGGCAGCAGUGGGGAAUUUUGCGCAAUGGGGGAAACCCUGACGCAGCAACGCCGCGUGGAGGAUGAAGCCCCUUGGGGUGUAAACUCCUUUCGAUCGGGAAGAUAAUGACGGUACCGAUAUAAGAAGCCCGGCUAACUUCGUGCCAGCAGCCGC
This 459-nucleotide ribosomal RNA is filed under the name uncultured bacterium. RNAcentral describes it as "SSU rRNA". It matches the Rfam family "Bacterial small subunit ribosomal RNA", at positions 26 to 518 of the family's 1533-position model. The record is from RNAcentral.